CUCUAGCAGUAAUAAGCUUACAGAACAAUAAUAACAAAAGUAAAAACAACCCUGAAAAAACAAACCCACUAAAGCUCAAAAAUAAACUGGGAUUAGAUACCCCACUAUACGAGCCCUAAAAACCCCCACCAGAAAACUACAAACUAACAUUUAAAACUCAAAGGACUUGGCGGUUUUUUAGACCUUCCUGGAGGAGCUUGCUACCUAACCGAUAACCCACGAAAAACCUCACCAGCUUUCGAAAAUCCAGCAUGUAUACCAUCGUCGUCAGUCCACCUCUCAAGAGAAGUAUACUAAACGAAACAACUUCACAACGUCAGAUCGAGGUGCAGUCAAUAAGCUGGGGGUAAGUGAGCUACAAUAUUAACACAACACAAAACCAAUUAUGGAUAGUAUAGUGAAAUUUAUACCUGAAACAGGAUUCAGCAGUAAUACCCAAAAGAAAAUGGAUAUGAAACAACCAGCUCUAAAAUGCGC
This 477-nucleotide ribosomal RNA is filed under the name Ceramaster patagonicus. RNAcentral describes it as "partial 12S ribosomal RNA". The stretch from base 132 to 477 matches the Rfam family "Bacterial small subunit ribosomal RNA", at positions 875 to 1386 of the family's 1533-position model. RNAcentral also lists the same sequence under 1 other name. The record is from RNAcentral. Lineage: Eukaryota; Metazoa; Echinodermata; Asteroidea; Valvatida; Goniasteridae.